RNAcentral lists this ribosomal RNA (1072 nucleotides) under Linnemannia elongata. Its description in RNAcentral is "LSU rRNA". It matches the Rfam family "Eukaryotic large subunit ribosomal RNA", at positions 38 to 964 of the family's 3401-position model. Lineage: Eukaryota; Fungi; Mortierellomycota; Mortierellomycetes; Mortierellales; Mortierellaceae. The record is from RNAcentral.
GCAUAUCAUAGCGGAGGAAAAAGAAACUACAAAGGAUCCCCUAGUAACGGCGAGUGAAGCGGGAUGAGCUCAAAUUUAAAAAUCUGGCUGGUUUACUAGUCCGAAUUGUAGUUUAUAGAAGCGUUUUCGGUGGCAGCCUGGGUAUAAAUCCUUUGGAAUAGGGUAUCAUAGAGGGUGAGAAUCCCGUCUUUGACUCAGUGCAUGCUACUAUGUGAUACGUUUUCAAAGAGUCGAGUUGUUUGGGAAUGCAGCUCAAAAUGGGUGGUAAAUUUCAUCUAAAGCUAAAUAUUGGCGAGAGACCGAUAGCGAACAAGUACCGUGAGGGAAAGAUGAAAAGAACUUUGAAAAGAGAGUUAAACAGUGCGUGAAAUUGUUGAAAGGGAAACGUUUGACACCAGUUAUGCGGGUGGAAAAUCAGUCUUUUGCAAUGGGGAGUUGUGGGCGUUCAGACCGCAAGGCUGGCGUUUGCUUCAUCUUUGUUGUAAGUGAUGCACUUUUUCAUUUGCAGGUCAACAUCAGUUUGCUUUGCUGGACAAAACCCCAAGGGAAGGUGGCAGCUUAGGCUGUGUUAUAGCCCUGGGGCGAUACAGUGGAGUGGACUGAGGUUUCGCAGUGUGUGCUCUCGGGCAAGGCUGACUGGGUGCUAUGGGAUCGUUCGGCGUACAAUGCAUGCAUUUUGCGUCGUGUCUUUUUCAUACUCGCUCAACUCGGCUCUUCCACACUUAGGAUGUUGACUUAAUGGUUUUAAACGACCCGUCUUGAAACACGGACCAAGGAGUCUAACAUAUAUGCAAGUGUUUGGGUGGCAAACCCAUGCGCGUAAUGAAAGUGAACGUAGGUGCGAUCCGCAAGGUGCAGCAUCGACCGAUCUUGAUAUUUUUUGGAUAGAUUUGAGUAAGAGCAUAUAUGCUGGGACCCGAAAGAUGGUGAACUAUGCCUGAAUUAGGGGUGAAGCCAGAGGAAACUCUGGUGGAGGCUCGUAGCGAUUUCUGACGUGCAAAUCGAUCGUCAAAUUUGGGUAUAGGGGGCGAAAGACUAAUCGAAACCAUCUAGUUAGCUGGGUUCCUGCCGA